This 492-nucleotide ribosomal RNA is filed under the name uncultured bacterium. Its description in RNAcentral is "partial 16S ribosomal RNA". It matches the Rfam family "Bacterial small subunit ribosomal RNA", at positions 29 to 507 of the family's 1533-position model. The record is from RNAcentral.
AGUGAACGCUGGCGGUAGGCCUAACACAUGCAAGUCGAACGGCAGCACAGUAAGAGCUUGCUCUUACGGGUGGCGAGUGGCGGACGGGUGAGGAAUACAUCGGAAUCUACUUUUUCGUGGGGGAUAACGUAGGGAAACUUACGCUAAUACCGCAUACGACCUACGGGUGAAAGCAGGGGAUCUUCGGACCUUGCACGAUUGAAUGAGCCGAUGUCGGAUUAGCUAGUUGGCGGGGUAAAGGCCCACCAAGGCGACGAUCCGUAGCUGGUCUGAGAGGAUGAUCAGCCACACUGGAACUGAGACACGGUCCAGACUCCUACGGGAGGCAGCAGUGGGGAAUAUUGGACAAUGGGCGCAAGCCUGGUCCAGCCAUACCGCGUGGGUGAAGAAGGCCUUCGGGUUGUAAAGCCCUUUUGUUGGGAAAGAAAAGCAGCAGGUUAAUACCCCGCUGUUCUGACGGUACCCAAAGAAUAAGCACCGGCUAACUUCGUG